Molecule: unclassified non-coding RNA, 352 nt
Filed under: Hevea brasiliensis (rubber tree)
Lineage: Eukaryota; Viridiplantae; Streptophyta; Magnoliopsida; Malpighiales; Euphorbiaceae
Source: RNAcentral
UGAUGAAGCUGUCGGCGACAGCAGAGCCGCUGGAAGGAUUAGACGCGGCUCUUGGAAAUGCUUUGGAGUUGGUGAACAGUUGCAGAGAAAAGAGCUACUUCUACAUGCUUGCCAUGGGGUGGAGCGUAGUUUACCAGUUUCAACGGGUUCAGACGGAGAUUGAUCGAUACCUGAACCUGGUUCCCUUGAUUUCCAUUGUCCACGACUUCCGAAUGCAGGACGUGCAUGAAAGCUUGGAAGCUGUUGAAGGUGAUUAUCAUUGUGAAUACACUCUAGACAAAGAGGAUAUUGAGGCCCACAGAGCAGUACUGAAACCUGAUCGAUCAAAGAAAGAUGCAAAUGUAUUAGAGAA